GCCUCCUGCAAACAUCAAAGUAUAGGAGGUCUUGCCUGCCCAGUGACAAGUUAAACGGCCGCGGUAUUUUGACCGUGCAAAGGUAGCGCAAUCACUUGUCUUUUAAAUGAAGACCUGUAUGAAUGGUGGAACGAGGGCUUAACUGUCUCCCCUUUCAAGUCAAUAAAAUUGAUCUGCCCGUGCAGAAGCGGACAUAAAAAUACAAGACGAGAAGACCCUUUGGAGCUUAAGAUACAAGAUCACCUAUGUCAAUACACCAAAACCCAAGUUAAACUAAAUAGUAUCUGAUCCCUAUCUUCGGUUGGGGCGACCACGGAAGAAAAUAAAGCUUCCAUGCGGACAGGGAUUACCAAACCCUAAAACCAAGAAAGACAUUUCCAAGCAACAGAACAUCUGACCAAAAAGAUCCGGCGGCCCCCCGCCGAUCAACGGACCAAGUUACCCUAGGGAUAACAGCGCAAUCCCCUUUCAGAGUCCAUAUCGACAAGGGGGUUUACGACCUCGAUGUUGGAUCAGGACAUCCUAAUGGUGCAGCAGCUAUUAAGGGUUCGUUUGUUCAACGAUUAAAGUCCU
This 573-nucleotide ribosomal RNA is filed under the name Epapterus dispilurus. RNAcentral describes it as "partial 16S ribosomal RNA". It matches the Rfam family "Bacterial large subunit ribosomal RNA", at positions 1818 to 2597 of the family's 2925-position model. The record is from RNAcentral. Lineage: Eukaryota; Metazoa; Chordata; Actinopteri; Siluriformes; Auchenipteridae.